ACUUCAGAAAGUUUCCUUUUAUAAAGUCUCUGAUGGCAGGGAAGAUGUUUAACAGAGUUUCUAUUGGCUCCCAGAAGAUAGCAAUGUCAGGAGUCAGGUCUAUAUAAUCCCUUCCUGCUGUCGGAGCCCACUUUAAGGGCCUGGAGGAGACCUUACAUGGUUUUAGGGAGCUGAGGCUGUGAACUGAAGACAAGGGGAUAACAAUUGCCAUGAAUGGACACUGCUUUCUCCAGAGACUUGUCUUUCUCCUCUCCAUUAUCCUGGUGGAUGGUCAAGAUUACAUAAGUGUUCCAGAAAAAAUAUAGGGGAUUCCCAUAUGCCCCACUCCCUAAAAAACAGGCAACUUUGCCAUCAUCAGAAG
RNAcentral lists this long non-coding RNA (361 nucleotides) under Dasypus novemcinctus (nine-banded armadillo). RNAcentral's name for it is "lncRNA (ENSDNOG00000052127.1)". The record is from RNAcentral. Lineage: Eukaryota; Metazoa; Chordata; Mammalia; Cingulata; Dasypodidae.